UGCAUGUCUAGCAUGCGAGUCAUUGUAGCAUACAAGGCAUACGGCUCAGUAACGCGUAGUCAACCUAACCUAUGGACGGAAAUAACCUCGGGAAACUGAGAAUAAUGUCCGAUAGAACACUAUACCUGGAAUGGUUUGUGUUCCAAAUGAUUUAUCGCCGUAGGAUGGGACUGCGGCCUAUCAGUUUGUUGGUGAGGUAAUGGCCCACCAAGACUAUUACAGGUACGGGCUCUGAGAGGAGUAGCCCGGAGAUGGGUACUGAGACACGGACCCAGGCCCUAUGGGGCGCAGCAGGCGAGAAAACUUUGCAAUGUGCGAAAGCACGACAAGGUUAAUCCGAGUGAUUUGUGCUAAACGAAUCUUUUGUUAGUCUUAGAACCACUAACGAAUAAGGGGUGGGCAAGUUCUGGUGUCAGCCGCCGCGGUAAAACCAGCACCUCAAGUGGUCAGGAUGAUUAUUGGGCCUAAAGCAUCCGUAGCCGGCUCUAUAAGUUUUCGGUUAAAUCUGUACGCUCAACGUACAGGCUGCCGGGAAUACUGCAGAGCUAGGGAGUGGGAGAGGUAGACGGUACUCGGAAGGAAGGGGUAAAAUCCUUUGAUCUUUUGAUGACCACCUGUGGCGAAAGCGGUCUACCAGAACACGUCCGACGGUGAGGGAUGAAAGCUGGGGGAGCAACCAGAUUAGAUACCCGGGUUAGUUCCAGCUGUAACUAUGCAACUCAUGAUGCAUUGACUGUGUCAAUGCAUGCCUGCAAGGCCAAGCCGUUAAAGGUUUUUGC
Molecule: ribosomal RNA, 779 nt
Filed under: uncultured archaeon
Lineage: Archaea
Description: bacterial SSU rRNA
Rfam family: Archaeal small subunit ribosomal RNA
Source: RNAcentral